This 932-nucleotide long non-coding RNA is filed under the name Numida meleagris (helmeted guineafowl). RNAcentral describes it as "lncRNA (ENSNMEG00000006962.1)". Lineage: Eukaryota; Metazoa; Chordata; Aves; Galliformes; Numididae. The record is from RNAcentral.
AUUUAAAGCAAAUCUGGCAAUUCAAACACCUGUGAACCUCAAAUAUUCCUCCUCUCUCCCCCCCCUCCCCCCCCCAUUAGGCUGAGUGUAAGGGUGAGGUAAUUAUGGAUGCCAACAUAAUUAACUUUGGCUGUCUUUCAUUUUAAUUCUUAAAACUAGACUUGCUAACGUGUGGAAACAGGAAUAACCUUGUGCAGCUGUUGGACUGUUUUCCUUGAUGCCCUGCACUCCAGCCUGGAGGAGGAGUUUUGACCAUGAGAGCCACUACAAUAAACUGACCAUUUGCUGAAGCUGUUUUUCCUGAGAGGUGUGUUCAAUAAAUACUCAUACAGCAGUUGAAGCACGUGGCCAAUGAACACAGAACAUUAUCGUAAGGUGAUGUGUGUUGCCUUCCCAAAUGGCAUGGAAGCCAUGUGAAAUACAUGAUGGUGUUCCCAUGGCACUGCCUACGGAUGGUCCUAUCAAAGGAUGUAUGAAGUGCUGGGGAAAUCCACUCACAGUGAUAGGAAAAAAAUCUGCGUUAAUUUAACUUUAUAUUGGUUUAAGUGUAAUAAGCUGGCUUAGUGGAGGCAAUGGACAAAAUACUUCUGAACAGAAGUGGGGAAAUAGUUACUGAAGAAGUAUGAAAGCAAAGUACAAAAAAAAAAAAAAAAAACAACCAACAGAGUGAAGAAAAUGUCAAAUGCCCCACUCAAAAAAAGCUUAGCACUCUCACUGUGAGAGUAUUGAACAGGGCAUAGGAAAGGAUUGGAAGUUCAGCGAUGAGAAUGCUACGUGUAGAAUCAUGUGGGAAAAUGAGGGCUUUGAGGGCAUAUCUAUAAGCAAACAGAUUUGUCUUAAAUAAUAUAGAAUUUUAAUUUUUUCAUGUAAGUGAUUUUGUGGAUUUUAGUAAAUGAGUAAAUGUACAAGAAAAUCUAAAUAAAAUUCCAAGC